GCGUGCUGGUUCAUGGUAAGCGGCAGGACGGUGGAUGCGUGCAGCUCUGGAUAUCGCGAUUCUUUCAGCUGCGUAGCUUCGGAUGUCGUGAUUCUUCCAAGUGCGUAGCUUCGGAUAUCGCGAUUCUUUCCAGCCACUUCAUACCGCAGGAUUGGGGAGCUGAGAGUCCGGAGGCCGGCAGUGAAGAGGCAACUGGAAACCCGAUCAGCGCUAAAAAUAAAGACUACCAGCGCGCCCUGCCUGCAGUCAGCCCAGACCGAGCCCAUCCACCCUGUAACUGAAGAGGAUCUUACACCAUAGUGCAUCAAUUA
This is a long non-coding RNA of Megalops cyprinoides (Indo-Pacific tarpon), 311 nucleotides long. RefSeq lists it as uncharacterized. Lineage: Eukaryota; Metazoa; Chordata; Actinopteri; Elopiformes; Megalopidae. The record is from RefSeq and is a predicted model, not a curated record. The transcript has 3 exons.